RNAcentral lists this non-coding RNA (29 nucleotides) under Rattus norvegicus (Norway rat). The record is from RNAcentral. Lineage: Eukaryota; Metazoa; Chordata; Mammalia; Rodentia; Muridae.
UGCUAAAGAGAGAGAAUUCGUUGGACUCU